RNAcentral lists this transfer RNA (73 nucleotides) under Mus musculus (house mouse). RNAcentral's name for it is "tRNA-Ser". The record is from RNAcentral. Lineage: Eukaryota; Metazoa; Chordata; Mammalia; Rodentia; Muridae.
GGAGAGGUGGCUCAGCGGUUAAGAGCACUGACUGCUCUUCCAGAGGUCAUGAGUUCAAUUCCCAGCAACCACA